UACGGGGGGGGCAAGCGUUGUUCGGAAUUACUGGGCGUAAAGGGUUUGUAGGUGGCCCGCUAAGUCACACGUGAAAUCCCUCAGCUUAACUGGGGAACUGCGUGUGAGACUGGCAGGCUCGAGGGCAGGAGAGGAACGCGGAAUUCCAGGUGUAGCGGUGAAAUGCGUAGAUAUCAAGAGGAACACCUGAGGUGAAGACGGGUUGCUAGGCUGACACUGACGCUGAGGCGCGAAAGCCAGGGGAGCAAACGGG
Molecule: ribosomal RNA, 253 nt
Filed under: uncultured bacterium
Lineage: Bacteria
Description: partial 16S ribosomal RNA
Rfam family: Bacterial small subunit ribosomal RNA
Source: RNAcentral